RNAcentral lists this non-coding RNA (29 nucleotides) under Rattus norvegicus (Norway rat). Lineage: Eukaryota; Metazoa; Chordata; Mammalia; Rodentia; Muridae. The record is from RNAcentral.
UCUGCUUUAGAGGCCAGAGAGAGGUAGAA